RNAcentral lists this ribosomal RNA (484 nucleotides) under uncultured bacterium. Its description in RNAcentral is "partial 16S ribosomal RNA". It matches the Rfam family "Bacterial small subunit ribosomal RNA", at positions 28 to 507 of the family's 1533-position model. The record is from RNAcentral.
GACGAACGCUGGCGGCGUGCUUAACACAUACAAGUCGAACGGCAAGGCCCUGCUUGCUUGGUACUCGAGUGGCGAACGGGCGAGUAACUCAUGGGUGAUCUGCCCUGCACUUCGUGAUAGGCCUUGAAGACUGGGUCUAAUAGCUGAUAGGAGCUAUGUUUAACGGGAGGGUUGGAAAGGUUUUUCGGUGUAGGAUGAGCUCGUGGCCUGUCAGCUAGUUGGCGGGGUAAAGGCCUACCAAGGCGGCGACGGGUAGCCGGGCUGAGGGGAUGAGCAGCCACACUGGAAGUGAGACACGGUCCAGACUCCGACGGGAGGCAGAAGUGGGGAAUAUUGGACGAUGGGCGGAAGCCUGAUCCAGCCAUACCGGGCGGGUGAAGAAGGCCUUCGGGUUGGAAAGCCCUUUUGUGGGGGAAGAAAAGCAGCAGGUGAAUACCCGGCUGUUCUGACGGUACCCAAAGAAUAAGCACCGGCUAACUUCGUG